CUUAGCUCGAGCUUGUUGAGCCUCGAUGUGAGAAUCUCAACAAGUUCAAAACGGAGCUUUUUUUUAAUGAGGGUUUUGGAGUGAUUUUUCCAGAGUAACGGUGCAGAAAUUCGGAUCCCUCUUCAGUGGAUUUCACUCCCUUCUUAUAGAGAGGUGGUACGAGGUUCAUACGUCCUUAUCCUUCAUGAGCUGGCAAAUCUAUUCAGAAUCAUUCUGUUAGAGAGGAAUUUUUGGGCUGGAUUUGGUGGGGACCAAGGUAUGUGAGUCAUUUUCCUGUUUUGUCUGUAGUGAAAUCCUUCCAAAAACGUGUGGCCUUUUGUUGAACUUUUCACUGCCUCUUUACUGCUGUAAAACACAUGCUUGUCAAAUUAUUUACUCUUCUGUAAAAUGGAAUUUUUAACUGAUGCUUGACCUUUAAUCAUUUCUUACAUACAACGGCUUUCUAAUGUCAGUCCCAUUUGGUUAUGGAUGGUGACAGGACCGUUAAUUUGAGCUGGUACGCAUUCAUCUUGAGAUAAUACGUAGCGGAUGUCGGUUUUGUUGCUAUCACAGUGUGCUGUCACCAAUUCUCGUAUUGAUGUGAAUUGUUCUUCAGGUUGGUAAUUCGGAUGGAAGCAAGGCAGUGCAUACUGAUCAAGGUGAAAUGCUGCCUUUAUGUUGCAGGUCACAAUAUGACUCCCUCCUACCAGGUUUGUUAUUUUGUACUAUCGUAUAUGACUGCAAUUUGAAAUGCUCGAUUGUUGUGUGUUAUUGCCUUUAUACUGAAGUGCAUUGAUACUUGCAAUGUCUUUGAUGUAUGCUGCUGGACUAGGUUGAAAAUUGAUCAUUGAAUAUGCUAACUGAUAUGCCUUGGAAUUUUCUUGUGAGGAUUGCUGAGACUUUUGUUGAACCUUCCUUUGAUGCUGGAUUUAUACUUCGACAAUAGGUACCUUGGUUUAAUCUUGGUAUGUGGCUAAUUCUUCUUGCUGCAGGUCGGGUUCUCCAGUUAGGCCUGUUGAUUCCAUGGUUAUGUUGAACAUGUUGUCUCGACCAAGGUUUCCUCAUCCAUUGGCUUGUAUUUCAAAGUUCUGAAGCGGGUUUGUGGCAGAACUGCUCAAGGUGCUUGCCAUCCUAUAUGUUCUGUUUAUUCAUCGUGAUGUUGUACUGAUGCAUUGUGGGGUGUGAACCGUGUGACAAAGGAUACGCAGUGGCCCCUCUGCUGCAGAAGACCUGCAGACUUGCAGUUGCUUGGCCAAGGCGGAUUGCAGCCCUCUUUGAUGUUUGGUGGUCAGAAUGCUGUGGUUCGUGAUGUCGAAAUGCGGUUCCAUUGUUUGUAGAAGCACACGCAUUGUAUUGUAAUGAGUAUGUACAAGUUUCAAGCCUGUUUCAAUUACGGUGUGUUUUGAUCAUGCCGGUUUUAUA
Long non-coding RNA from Lathyrus oleraceus (garden pea), 1401 nucleotides. RefSeq lists it as uncharacterized. Lineage: Eukaryota; Viridiplantae; Streptophyta; Magnoliopsida; Fabales; Fabaceae. The transcript is spliced from 2 exons. The record is from RefSeq and is a predicted model, not a curated record.